Molecule: ribosomal RNA, 417 nt
Filed under: uncultured bacterium
Lineage: Bacteria
Description: bacterial SSU rRNA
Rfam family: Bacterial small subunit ribosomal RNA
Source: RNAcentral
UGAGGAAUAUUGGGGCAAUGGGGGCCAACCCUGACCCAGCCAUGCCGCGUGAGUGAAGAAGGUUUUCGGAUUGUAAAGCUCUUUCGGAUGUGACGAUGAUGACGGUAGCAUCUAAAGAAGCCCCGGCAAACUUCGUGCCAGCAGCCGCGGUAAUACGAAGGGGGCAAGCGUUGUUCGGAAUUACUGGGCGUAAAGGGUGUGUAGGCGGUUAUGUAAGAUAGCGGUGAAAUCCCAGGGCUUAACCUUGGAAUUGCCGUUAUGACUAUGUAACUAGAAUUAUGGAGAGGAUAUCGGAAUACCCAGUGUAGAGGUGAAAUUCGUAGAUAUUGGGUAGAACACCAGUGGCGAAGGCGGGUAUCUGGCCAUAUAUUGACGCUGAGGUACGAAAGCAUGGGGAUCAAACAGGAUUAGAUACCC